AUAUAGUCAUGUACUUUUGUUAUCAUCCAUUGCUGCUGUAUAAAAUAUGGUCUUCAUCUGUCCUUUAUUUCUCAGAAAUAUUUUUGACUUGUUUGUUCUCUAAUUAGAAAGCAUUAUGAGAUGCUGUUGAAUAUAGAAACCUUGCUGCUUUUUGACCAUACAGAAAAAUGAAUUUAAACAAAAAAAGAAAUUGUUGGUCCUGAAAAUGGUCGCCUAGUGUGCCUUAAAUGUGUAAU
RNAcentral lists this unclassified non-coding RNA (236 nucleotides) under Hevea brasiliensis (rubber tree). The record is from RNAcentral. Lineage: Eukaryota; Viridiplantae; Streptophyta; Magnoliopsida; Malpighiales; Euphorbiaceae.